This 843-nucleotide ribosomal RNA is filed under the name Pristimantis uranobates (Caldas robber frog). RNAcentral describes it as "partial 16S ribosomal RNA". It matches the Rfam family "Bacterial large subunit ribosomal RNA", at positions 1537 to 2602 of the family's 2925-position model. Lineage: Eukaryota; Metazoa; Chordata; Amphibia; Anura; Strabomantidae. The record is from RNAcentral.
CCCACACAGACCCCUUUAACCGUAUUGAGAACUUCUAUAGCACUAUAGAACCUUUCAUGCUAAAACUAGUAACAAGAGUUAACCCUCUCCACAAUGCAAGUAUAAGCCAGCAAGAACCCACCACUGGCAACUAACAGACCUAAACAAAAGUAGCAACUUUUGCCAGAAAACUCUACUUUACUCACUGUUAACCUUACACCAGAGCAUUUCAAGAAAGAUUAAAAGGAAAAGAAGGAACUCGGCAAACAUUAGCCCCGCCUGUUUACCAAAAACAUCGCCUCUUGUCCAUAUAAGAGGUCCAGCCUGCCCAGUGACUCUUGUUCAACGGCCGCGGUAUCCUAACCGUGCGAAGGUAGCGUAAUCACUUGUCUUCUAAAUAAAGACCAGUAUGAAAGGCAUCACGAGGGCUAAACUGUCUCCUUUCCCUAAUCAGUGAACCUAAUCUCCCCGUGAAGAAGCGGGGAUUAUUAUAUAAGACGAGAAGACCCUAUGGAGCUUUAAACAUCACAACACCUGCCUUACACUUUUAUCUACCCAGGUAUACCCUCUCACAGCACACUGAUUGUAUGUUUUUGGUUGGGGUGACCGCGGAGAAAAACUAAUCCUCCGCAAUGAAAGGGAUCUUCCCUAAACAAUAAGCCACAACUUUAUGUAUCCACAAAUUGACAUUCAUUGACCCAAUACAUUUGAUUAACGAACCAAGUUACCCUAGGGAUAACAGCGCAAUCCACUUCAAGAGCCCCUAUCGACAAGUGGGCUUACGACCUCGAUGUUGGAUCGGGGUAUCCUAGUGGUGCAACCGCUACUAAAGGUUCGUUUGUUCAACGAUUAAAACCCUACGUG